AUGAUUUAAUUUCAAAAGUCUUAUUUAGAAAUUAAAUGUAACACUACAAAUUAAAUGCUGGUAAUAAGUCCGAACUUCACAAAUAAUAUGAUACUUUUCAAAUUUGACUUACAGCAAUAUAAAUUUGUUAGUGAUAUUACCUACACAUACGUAACACUUUUGUUUACACGGACACCUAACUUUAGGCUCGUGCCUUAGUGUGCGUACAGUUUUUGUUAGUCGUUUUUAUUUUAUUUAUUAUUGUACCUUUUAAAAUAUUUGUGAUCGUUUUUUUACUUAUGAAGUCGCUUAGGCAUAUGUGGCGUGGCUUUCGGAGACCGCGAGAUGCCUUACACUUAUUCAUAUCUUAAGAAUUCGUAAGUUGUUAUGAACGCAACUUUUUAAUUUCGUAGUGAGAAAGCUAUUAAAUGUCUUUCAAUAAACAAGUGUCCAAUACCCGUGCCCGUUGCUGGGUCUCAUUGUUUUGCAAAAUGGAAUUUCCCUGAAAUGUUUUUGUAUCAGGAAAAUGGGUACCAUUUUGUCGGUUGUGAAAAAUAUUGACGGUUGACCGCGUGGUACCGUUCCUGGAUAAAUGUGCAAGGGAAAGCUUAAAACAUUUUCUAGAAUGUAAAUAUAGCGAACGAAUGGAGGCCUGAAUAAUAUAAAUAUAGUAUAUUUUGUCACAAUGUAUGUUAAUGUACAGAGUUAUAUAUAUUUGUACUUAAAUUGUGUAAAGCUUCCGUGAAAUUAUGUUGGAAAAAGUAUUUGUGAUGAAUUUGAUUUUUGUAAAAUAUUUUCUAGGCGCCUCUGAGGCCUGUGAUCCAUGUUUAGACUUCUGUAUAAAGCGUUUGCUUAAGCCCUAUCUCAAUUUCAGGCACUUCCAUAUAUUGGGAUCGUUAUAAAAUCUCCAUUUUUUUAUGUUGAUCGAUUGUAUAGGAUGUGUUAAGUUUUAGUUUUUUUUUCUAAUGUAAGGGGCGCAGUCAAUUCCUAAAAAAACUAGUUUUAGUCUCACAACGCUGUUCGCUACAUAGCCAUGGCUCGAUAGAUGUAAGUUAAAAAAAAAACGAUUUGUGAUAAUUCAAAAAAAGCUAACUGCAGCUAUGUCUAGACAUCGCUUGACAGUACAGGAAUUGACUCAGUCCCGAAAUAUCAAUGUAAUAUACUGUGAGUUUGUAGCGUACAAGCAAAGACAUGUAUAGUUGUGCGAGUGUGCGAGCGAGAGGCGACGAGUGACUGAGAUAGUUUAAGUCUAGUUAAUAGUUAGGCAAAAACUGUGAGAGCGCAGACAGAGAAAUCAGUUUUUUUUUGCAUCGAGGGAUCAACGGAGGGCUUACAAAAUGUG
Cydia amplana is the source of this 1321-nucleotide long non-coding RNA. RefSeq lists it as uncharacterized. The transcript has 2 exons. NCBI's taxonomy places the organism in Eukaryota, Metazoa, Arthropoda, Insecta, Lepidoptera, Tortricidae. The record is from RefSeq and is a predicted model, not a curated record.